AUAAUGAACCGUUGAUGAGGGCACUGUCAAAACUUAUUUACCUUAACAAUCCUGUUCUCGUCUUGUUUGUUGGAAAUGAUGCCGUUGAUCAACUUUCAAAAUUCAAUCAGAAAUUAGUGGACCUUUCGACUUCAGCUAGUCCAAGACUGAGAUGGGAUCUUGCUCACAAAGUUAGAUCCUAUUGAUGAUAAGGUUGGAGCUGCACUAUCAAGCAUAUUACGAAUUUGCCAAAAAGAGGAUAGUGCUCCUGAUACAAUAUUAGUAUACAAGUGUCUGUGUUUGAACAAAUGAACUCUUAACCUUCUGUUACAAUGGAAAUUGAUCAGCUUGAGCUUUGAAAAUGAUGAAGAGGUAAAUUAGGAAAUAGAGCAGGUUUCUAAAAGAAAGAAAGAAAGAAAGAAUUGCUCGUAUGUAGUUUGUCAUGCUGCAAGGCAUUGUUUUACCAAUCUGUAUCAGCAGUUGUAGUAACUAUCUUGGCACAGAAAAGUAGAUGAUUUCUGAUUACAAGCCGUAGUUCAAUCCAAAAUGUAUUCUGACACACUGAGCUAAGAAGAAAUUCCCUAGCAUACUUGCUUUAGUCAGAAACACAGUUUUGCAAA
Long non-coding RNA from Carya illinoinensis, 599 nucleotides. RefSeq lists it as uncharacterized. The transcript has 3 exons. The record is from RefSeq and is a predicted model, not a curated record. NCBI's taxonomy places the organism in Eukaryota, Viridiplantae, Streptophyta, Magnoliopsida, Fagales, Juglandaceae.